UACGAAGGGGGCUAGCGUUGUUCGGAAUUACUGGGCGUAAAGCGCGCGCAGGCGGCUCUCCAAGUCAGUGGUGAAAGCCCGGAGCUCAACUCCGGAACUGCCAUUGAAACUGUUUAGCUUGAGGACGAGAGAGGUGAGUGGAAUUCCCAGUGUAGAGGUGAAAUGCGUAGAUAUUGGGAAGAACACCAGUGGCGAAGGCGGCGCACUGGCUCGGAUCUGACGCUGAGGCGCGACAGCGUGGGGAGCAAACAGG
Molecule: ribosomal RNA, 253 nt
Filed under: uncultured bacterium
Lineage: Bacteria
Description: partial 16S ribosomal RNA
Rfam family: Bacterial small subunit ribosomal RNA
Source: RNAcentral